AAGUGAAGCGGCAACAGCUCAAAUUUGAAAUCUGGCCUUCGGGUCCGAGUUGUAAUUUGUAGAGGAGGCUUUUGGUGCGGUGCCUUCCGAGUUCCCUGGAACGGGACGCCAUAGAGGGUGAGAGCCCCGUCUGGUUGGAUACCAAUCCUCUGUAAAGCUCCUUCGACGAGUCGAGUAGUUUGGGAAUGCUGCUCUAAAUGGGAGGUAUAUGUCUUCUAAAGCUAAAUACCGGCCAGAGACCGAUAGCGCACAAGUAGAGUGAUCGAAAGAUGAAAAGCACUUUGAAAAGAGGGUUAAACAGUACGUGAAAUUGUUGAAAGGGAAGCGCUUGUGACCAGACUUGGGCAUGGUUAAUCAUCCAGCGUUCUCGCUGGUGCACUUGGCCUGCCCAGGCCAGCAUCAGUUCGGUGCGGGGGAUAAAGGCUUCGGGAAUGUGGCUCCUCCGGGAGUGUUAUAGCCCGUUGUGCAAUACCCUGCGCUGGACUGAGGUUCGCGCAUCUGCAUGGAUGCUGGCGUAAUGGUCAUCAGCGACCCGUCUUGAAACACGGACCAAGGAGUCGUCCUCGUAUGCGAGUGUUCGGGUGUUAAACCCCUACGCGUAAUGAAAGUGAACGCAGGUGAGAGCUUCGGCGCAUCAUCGACCGAUCCUGAUGUUCUCGGAUGGAUUUGAGUAAGAGCAUACGGGGCCGGACCCGAAAAGAAGGUGAACUAUGCCUGUAUAGGGUGAAGCCAGAGGAAACUCUGGUGGAGGCUCGCAGCGGUUCUGACGUGCAAAUCGAUCGUCAAAUAUGGGCAUGGGGGGCGAAAGACUAAUCGAACCUUCUAGUAGCUGGUUUCCGCG
RNAcentral lists this ribosomal RNA (841 nucleotides) under Xenoacremonium recifei. RNAcentral's name for it is "LSU rRNA". It matches the Rfam family "Eukaryotic large subunit ribosomal RNA", at positions 91 to 962 of the family's 3401-position model. Lineage: Eukaryota; Fungi; Ascomycota; Sordariomycetes; Hypocreales; Nectriaceae. The record is from RNAcentral.